RNAcentral lists this ribosomal RNA (689 nucleotides) under Streptomyces brevispora. RNAcentral's name for it is "bacterial SSU rRNA". It matches the Rfam family "Bacterial small subunit ribosomal RNA", at positions 1 to 713 of the family's 1533-position model. Lineage: Bacteria; Bacillati; Actinomycetota; Actinomycetes; Kitasatosporales; Streptomycetaceae. The record is from RNAcentral.
UAGAGUUUUGAUCCUGGCUCAGGACGAACGCUGGCGGCGUGCUUAACACAUGCAAGUCGAACGAUGAAGCCUUUCGGGGUGGAUUAGUGGCGAACGGGUGAGUAACACGUGGGCAAUCUGCCCUUCACUCUGGGACAAGCCCUGGAAACGGGGUCUAAUACCGGAUAAUACUUUCUCUCUCAUGGGGGAAGGUUAAAAGCUCCGGCGGUGAAGGAUGAGCCCGCGGCCUAUCAGCUAGUUGGUGGGGUAAUGGCCUACCAAGGCGACGACGGGUAGCCGGCCUGAGAGGGCGACCGGCCACACUGGGACUGAGACACGGCCCAGACUCCUACGGGAGGCAGCAGUGGGGAAUAUUGCACAAUGGGCGAAAGCCUGAUGCAGCGACGCCGCGUGAGGGAUGACGGCCUUCGGGUUGUAAACCUCUUUCAGCAGGGAAGAAGCGAAAGUGACGGUACCUGCAGAAGAAGCGCCGGCUAACUACGUGCCAGCAGCCGCGGUAAUACGUAGGGCGCAAGCGUUGUCCGGAAUUAUUGGGCGUAAAGAGCUCGUAGGCGGCUUGUUGCGUCGGUUGUGAAAGCCCGGGGCUUAACCCCGGGUCUGCAGUCGAUACGGGCAGGCUAGAGUGUGGUAGGGGAGAUCGGAAUUCCUGGUGUACGGUGAAAUGCGCAGAUAUCAGGAGGAACACCGGG